GAUGAAGAACGUAGCGAAAUGCGAUAAGUAAUGUGAAUUGCAGAAUUCAGUGAAUCAUCGAAUCUUUGAACGCACAUUGCGCCCCUUGGUAUUCCGAGGGGCAUGCCUGUUCGAGCGUCAUUUCAACCCUCAAGCCCCCGGGCUUGGUGUUGGGGAUCGGCGAGCCUCCGCGCCCGCCGUCCCCUAAAUCUAGUGGCGGUCUCGCUGUAGCUUCCUCUGCGUAGUAGCACACCUCGCACUGGGAAACAGCGCGGCCACGCCGUUAAACCCCCAACUUCUGAACGUUUGACCUCGGAUCAGGUAGGAAUACCCGCUGAACUUAAGCAUAUAAUAAGCGGAGGA
This 342-nucleotide unclassified non-coding RNA is filed under the name soil metagenome. Its description in RNAcentral is "partial contains 5.8S ribosomal RNA, internal transcribed spacer 2, and large subunit ribosomal RNA". The stretch from base 1 to 120 matches the Rfam family "5.8S ribosomal RNA", at positions 35 to 154 of the family's 154-position model. The record is from RNAcentral.